RNAcentral lists this ribosomal RNA (448 nucleotides) under uncultured bacterium. Its description in RNAcentral is "partial 16S ribosomal RNA". It matches the Rfam family "Bacterial small subunit ribosomal RNA", at positions 330 to 795 of the family's 1533-position model. The record is from RNAcentral.
UCCAGACUCCUACGGGAGGCAGCAGUGGGGAAUAUUGCACAAUGGGGGGAACCCUGAUGCAGCGACGCCGCGUGGGUGAAGGAGCACCUCGGUGCGUAAAGCCCUAUCGGCAGGGAAGAAACAGACGGUACCUGACUAAGAAGCCCCAGCUAACUACGUGCCAGCAGCCGCGGUAAUACGUAGGGGGCAAGCGUUAUCCGGAUUCACUGGGUGUAAAGGGAGCGUAGACGGCGACGCAAGUCUGGAGUGAAAGCCCGGGGCCCAACCCCGGGACUGCUCUGGAAACUGCGCGGCUGGAGUGCAGGAGGGGCAGGCGGAAUUCCUGGUGUAGCGGUGAAAUGCGUAGAUAUCAGGAGGAACACCGGUGGCGAAGGCGGCCUGCUGGACUGCGACUGACGUUGAGGCCCGAAAGCGUGGGGAGCAAACAGGAUUAGAUACCCGAGUACUC